ACAGGUAAUAUAUCAUAUCUACUACUAAUACAGGUAAUAUAUCAUAUCUACUACUAUAACUGAAAAAAAUAUCCCAAUGCCCAGGGCAGAGAUUGGGGACAUUACCCUGUGUAAGGUGCUAUCUUUCAGAUGGGACGUUAAACGGUUGUCCUGACUCUCUGUGGUCACCAAAUAUCUAAUGGCGCUUUUCGUAAGAGUAGGGGUGUUAAGUGUCCCCCCCAGUGUCCCGGCUAAAUUCCCAAUCUGGCCCUCAACCGAUCAUGGUCAUCUAAUCAUCUCCAUCUUCCAAUUGGCUGAUUCAACCCCCCUCCUCUCCUCUGUAACUAUUCCCCAGGUCGUUGCUAUGAAUUAGAAUGUGUUCUCAGUCAACUUACGUGUUAAAAUAAGGGUUAAAUAAGAAAAAUAUAACCCUCCUUUCAUCCUCAACACGAGAUUCUCCAAGUAACACCUCUGUGGCAGUCAGUCCUUGUAGUGAUAUAGUGGAGGGCAGUUCAGUGACUCUGACCUGCAGCAGUGAUGCCAGCCCACCUGUGGACAAAUACACUUGGUACUUUCAAAAUAGGACUUUACCAAAUGUAUUUGAACAGAUCUACAACAUCACCAACUUCAGGUCUGAAGACAGUGGACAUUACCACUGUGAGGCCUGGAAUAAAAUGACAUCUAAGAACUCUACAGAUCUGAUUAUUAUAACAGUUCUGACUGCAGUUGUAGGAAUCACAGUGGAUGUUCUGGUUCUCAUCCUCUGUGUCUCUGGCUUCAUGUGGAUCAGGAAGAAGGACUCCAAAUCCACCUCUGACAUUAAGGACACAGCAGACGAUGGACAGACUGUAGUCCCAUGUAUGACAACAUCUCAGGCUCUGCAGCACAGAGAGCAGACAGAGGAGAGCAGGAUGACAGUCACUACACCAGUGUCCACUUCUCUGGCUCCAAUAACCAGGAAGUGCCUCUGCAUUCCACUGUUCAACUGCCUCAACCCCAGAAAGAGGAUGAGGAUGUCCAGCGUGAUGCUGUGAAAUUCUACCAUCCCAGUGUUGCCACCCGACCUCUCUCACAGGAAGCUGAGGAGGACCUCUCUGUGUUCUAUAGAACAGUUAACAAACCCAGAACCAAGAAGACCUGAACACAAGAUGAUCUCUGCUGUGUCCCAAAUGGUACCUUGUUGUCUCUAGUGUAAUAUGUAGUCGUGGGCUCAUGGCUUGAGACUGAGCUUUGCUUUGUAUAUCUGAAAGGGAACAAGACAAUACCAAACUUGUCAUUAAGCAGUAUUACUUUAGCUCUUUGCGUGAGGUUUAGCGAGAGGAAAAUGUUGCCCUUAAUGCUUUAGGUCGUCACGGGUGGUGGCACAACAAAUUGGGGAAGAAUUACUGUAGCUUCAGUACUGUUAACGAUUAAUGUACAAUACUAUAUAGCCACACUGUUAUUCACUUCAGAACCUAUUCAGACUUUAGAUAAGUUGACUUCACAUGGACAUGAUUCCAAAAUCAAGUCCAAAAUUGUUGCCUACUUAUCUCAAGUCUGAAUUGGGCCAAAGAUACACAUCUUGCUAUUAAUAAUGUAAAAACAUUUUUUUUAAAUAAUUUAGUG
Molecule: long non-coding RNA, 1584 nt
Organism: Oncorhynchus nerka (sockeye salmon)
Lineage: Eukaryota; Metazoa; Chordata; Actinopteri; Salmoniformes; Salmonidae
Exons: 5
Source: RefSeq, a predicted model, not a curated record